GCCUGGCGCGCCUGGCGUCUUGCCCGAGGCCGGGUUUCCGUCCGCCUUGACUGCCUGCGGGACCGUGGAACCGCAGGCCCGCACACCAGUGCUCGCUCACCGGUUCGGUUCUGGUCACCGGUUGCUGUGCAAUAGUAUUCUCACUAAGCCAGGAACUGCCUUUCGUUCUGUUGACCUGUCUUGCAGGUCAGGAGUGUCACUUGACAAGUGGGGGUGCAUGCGGGCACGUGCUAGGGCUCCUUGCUGACGUUGGGGUCUGCAGUGACUUACUCCUCCAUUCUCAGUAAAUGCUGAGGGAAGUUGGGAGAGGAUUCAGGCCUAGCCAGACCCUUUGAGAAUCCUGGAAAAAGAGAGAAAUAACGAUAAAAGCCUAACUUUUUAGUGCUUUGCUGUCUUAGUGUUUUGCUAUGGCUGAAAUCGCCUCCUAGGAUCUGCAUUGCUUGGGCUGCCUAACCUAGAGAUUAGAAUGGAGAAUAUGCUCCAGUCACCCGAACACUGUUGGGGGGGAUUAUGGAGUAGCUGUUUAUGAUUCCUUUCCCAAGUAAUUCCAUGCAACCGCAUCUCUAAAGUGGACAGUUUUUUCUCCCAAAGUUUCAGGGGAGGUUGCUUCAGAACACCUGAAUGGCAUCCUGGCAUCAGGAGGGACCAGGCGUUGCCGGAGAGCUGCAGCCAGGUCUCCCAACACAGCUGUUGCCUUUCCUUCCUCUCCCAGUCGACUUGCUGGUUUCAUCUCUGCUUUCCAAUACCUGCCUCAGCUUUAUGAAGUAACUGCAACACUUUAAAUUUAGGAACUGUCUCCUAGCCAGAAUAUUUUUUAAUUUUGGAGCAUGGAUGGAUUGGUUUUGUUUUUUGAGUAGGCUAUAUAUGUAAAUGUUUCUAAAAAAGAAAAUGAAGUCUAUACUUGUGCAUAUGUGAUCUCAGAAGAGGCUGAAGCAAGAGGAUUGCUGUGAGCAGCCUGGACUAUAUAAUACAAAAACUCGAGCCACUUCUAAGAGCCUGAUACCUGUUAAAUCCAAAGACAUCGACAUUUCCAAAAAUCAUCAUUCAGACAAUGAUACAACGAAAAUCACCAAACCAAAACGAGAGAAUAGCUGCAGGCCAUCAAGGGAACAAAAAUCAGAGGAAGAGCUGAAAGAUAAGAACGAGCUCUUAGAGACUGUCAACAAGCAGUUGCACCAGAAGUUGGUUAAAACUCAGGGAGAGCUGAAGGACCUAACCCAGAAGGUGGAGCUGCUGGAGAAGUUUCAGGACAACUGUUUAGCAGUUUUAGAGCGCAAAGGUCUUAACCCAGGCAGCAACACCCUGGCAUCACAGCAGGAAGCCACUAUGGACCACAUGGACUCUGUGCUGCUGUUAGAAACUUUACAAGAUGAGCUGAAGCUAUUUAAUGAAACAGCCAAGAAGCAGAUGGAGGAGUUACAGGCCUUAAAAGUAAAGUUGAAGAUGAAAGAAGAAGAACGGGCCCAAUUCCUAGAGCAGCGAACUUUAUAUAAGCGACAAGUUACUGACUUUACAAAAGCGCUGGAGGAAAUGGAGCAGCUAUUGGAGAUGUAAUCAAAGGACAGCGGCCUGAUGGCUCCUUCUCAGGGAUGAACUCUGAGGAAGCCACUUAGGACAUCUUGGCCAUAGACUCCUAUGACUCACUGUCUUCAGGGUGAAAACAGUUUGAGGAAUCAGAUUAGGGCAGUUUAUUGCUGCAAUAGCAGCUUCUCCAUUAAGCAAGUUCUCUUGUCUUUAGACUGGUCAACUCUCCGGAGCCUCACAGUAGAUAACAGAGGCUACAAGAGAGGGACCGGGAAGCUUGAUCCACCUCCAAGGCCUCUCCGACACACGUUAGAUCAGGAGAUGAGAGCCAAGCGUAGGGGCACACAUCUGAUCCAAGCAUGGGGGAGGCUGAGGCAGGCAGAGGAUCCCUUGAGCUAAGGAGUUCAAGGUAAGCUUUGCGACACAGCAAGAUGGCGACUGAGCAUACAGAUCAGGAAACUACACCAGCCAGGACCUAGGCGGUCACAGACAGAUUUGCAGAAGGAAACCCUUGAUUACAAUUGGAGUGCGUUAAUUCCACGGGAGACAACACUUGAGAAGCCACACUGUCCUCUUCUUUCUUGUGAUGCGUUGUGUCCCAUCGUGGUUGGGCUCUGCACUUCAUUGAAAGUUAUGAACUUGAAGUUGCAUGAAGGUUUUUUGCUUAAUAAAUGGGAUGAAGGUAUCAAUAACAGUGCCUGAAAAAAAUACAUUGGGAGCUUUUACUCUAAAUGGCAUUUGCUUUUUUUAUUUAAAGUAUUUUAAACUGCCUGUGGUGGUGUACGCCUGUAGUCCCAGCACUCGGGAGAAGUUGCCAUGGUUUCAAGACCACCCUGAACUACGUGGUGAGACCCUGGCUCGAAAAAUAAAAAUAAGAAAGCCAGGGAUUUGGCUCAGUGAUUCCAUUGCCUGCCUCGCAAGUGCAAGGACCUGAGUUCAAUCCCUGGUACCAAAAAAUAAAUAAAUAAAAUAGGAGGGCCGGGGAUUUAGCUCAGUGGUGCUGCCACCUGCCUUGCAAGCACAAGGUCCUGAGUUUGAUCCCCAGUACCAAAAAAUAAAAUAGGCCUGGGGAUUUAGCUCAGUGGCACCACACCUUCCUCGAAAGCACAAGAUCCUGAGUUCGAUUCCCCAGUACCAAAAAAAUAAUAGCCAAGCAUGGUGGCAUACACCUGUAAUCUCAGCACUCAGGAGGCUAAGGUAGGAUUGAUGUGAGUUUGAGGCCAGCCUGGGCUACACAGUGAGACUCUCAACAAAACAAAAAAUUGUAUUUUUUCGAAAUAAAUAUCUCCAUAAAACUUUAACUGUAACAUUGAGGAAUGAAAAUAGCUUUUUAACUUGUGUGUCAACCGGACAUUAUGAUAAUAUGUUCAAUAUUCUGAUUUACCCAGAAUGUUUUCCUCUGUUCAUUGAGUCCACCCUCCACUCGCCCCCUACUUUCCAGUGUCACUGGGUGUCCCCAUUUGUAGCAGCAGAUGCCAGGCUCCCACAGGUUUUCCCAGUCACUGUGUGUAUUUGCUGUAGAUGCCUGCAGUUUGCUGACAGCCAGUCCUUGGUCUGGUCCAUACAUCACAUAGUCUGUGGCCUGAAGUCUAUAGCAGCUUCCCUUCAGGUUUGCCAAACUCAAAGCCAAAUUUUCUUAGUCUUGUUUGGCUAGUUGUCUUUUUUUUUUUUUUUUGGUUUUUUUGAGUCAAGGUCUUGCUAUGUAGUUCAGGCUGGCCUCAAAUUCAUGGUGAUCCUGCCACAGCCUCCCAAGAGCUGGGAUUACAGAAUUGUGCC
This is a long non-coding RNA of Fukomys damarensis (Damara mole-rat), 3300 nucleotides long. Lineage: Eukaryota; Metazoa; Chordata; Mammalia; Rodentia; Bathyergidae. The record is from Ensembl.